GUGGGGAAUAUUGCACAAUGGGCGCAAGCCUGAUGCAGCAACGCCGCGUGGGGGAUGACGGCCUUCGGGUUGUAAACCUCUUUUAGUAGGGAAGAAGCGAAAGUGACGGUACCUGCAGAAAAAGCACCGGCUAACUACGUGCCAGCAGCCGCGGUAAUACGUAGGGUGCAAGCGUUGUCCGGAAUUAUUGGGCGUAAAGAGCUCGUAGGCGGUUUGUCGCGUCUGCUGUGAAAUCCCGAGGCUCAACCUCGGGCCUGCAGUGGGUACGGGCAGACUAGAGUGCGGUAGGGGAGAUUGGAAUUCCUGGUGUAGCGGUGGAAUGCGCAGAUAUCAGGAGGAACACCGAUGGCGAAGGCAGAUCUCUGGGCCGCUACUGACGCUGAGGAGCGAAAGCAUGGGGAGCGAACAGGAUUAGAUACCCCAGUAGUCC
Molecule: ribosomal RNA, 430 nt
Filed under: uncultured bacterium
Lineage: Bacteria
Description: partial 16S ribosomal RNA
Rfam family: Bacterial small subunit ribosomal RNA
Source: RNAcentral